Molecule: RNase P RNA, 351 nt
Filed under: Lachnospiraceae bacterium
Lineage: Bacteria; Bacillati; Bacillota; Clostridia; Lachnospirales; Lachnospiraceae
Description: RNase P RNA component class A
Rfam family: Bacterial RNase P class A
About the family: Ribonuclease P (RNase P) is a ubiquitous endoribonuclease, found in archaea, bacteria and eukarya as well as chloroplasts and mitochondria. Its best characterised activity is the generation of mature 5'-ends of tRNAs by cleaving the 5'-leader elements of precursor-tRNAs.
Source: RNAcentral
UAAGUAGAACAAAUGAUCGCGGCUGCACAGACGAAAGGGUGUAGACGAGGAAAGUCCGGGCUCCACAGGGCAGGAUGCCGGAUAACAUCCGGUGGAGGCGACUCCAAGGCCAGUGCAACAGAAAAGAAACUGCUCAGCAAUAUGCUGAGUGAGGGUGGAAUGGCAGUGUAAGAGACUACCGCCGUCACGGUAACGGGACGGGCUGUGUAAACCCCAUCCGGAGCAAGACCAAACAGAGAGCAAUGACCGGCCCGGUCCGCUUUCAGGUAGGUCGCUGGAGGGUCCCGGCAACGGGACUCCUAGAUAGAUGAUCAUUCACGACAUAACCCGGCUUAUCGUUCUGCUUACAAA